Molecule: small RNA, 587 nt
Filed under: Pan troglodytes (chimpanzee)
Lineage: Eukaryota; Metazoa; Chordata; Mammalia; Primates; Hominidae
Description: processed transcript
Source: RNAcentral
UGCGGUGGUGACUGAGCUACGAGCCUGGCGGCGGGUGUGCGCCGAGCCCCGGCCCGGCCCGGCCCCCGCGUGCCUCCCAGGCUCCGCACCCCUGAUGCUGCGCGGGUGCUGAGCCCGCUUCGGCCGGGACGAUGGUGAAGUAUUUCCUGGGCCAGAGCGUGCUCCGGAGUUCCUGGGACCAAGUGUUCGCCGCCUUCUGGCAGCGGUACCCGAAUCCCUAUAGUGUGGUGAGACAAGAAGAGGCGGCAGUAUGGGAGUUGGGAGGGAUCUUGGAGUUGGAAAUCCUAUUUCUCUGCCCGUGGCGCUUUCCUGGGGUGCAAUAAAUCAUGAGGUCCAUUCCUGCUAGAAGGCAGGAAUCCAGCAAACAUGUCUUGACGGAAGACAUAGUACACCGGGAGGUGACCCCUGACCAGAAACUGCUGUCCCGGCGACUCCUGACCAAGACCAACAGGAUGCCACGCUGGGCCGAGCGACUAUUUCCUGCCAAUGUUGCUCACUCGGUGUACAUCCUGGAGGACUCUAUUGUGGACCCACAGAAUCAGACCAUGACUACCUUCACCUGGAACAUCAACCACGCCCGGCUGAUG